This 460-nucleotide ribosomal RNA is filed under the name uncultured bacterium. RNAcentral describes it as "partial 16S ribosomal RNA". It matches the Rfam family "Bacterial small subunit ribosomal RNA", at positions 338 to 795 of the family's 1533-position model. The record is from RNAcentral.
CCUACGGGAGGCAGCAGUGAGGAAUAUUGGUCAAUGGGCGCGAGCCUGAACCAGCCAAGUAGCGUGAGGGAUGACUGCCCUAUGGGUUGUAAACUUCUUUUAUUAGGGAAUAAAAUGCCUUACGUGUACGUUUUUGCCUGUACCUUAUGAAUAAGGAUCGGCUAACUCCGUGCCAGCAGCCGCGGUAAUACGGAGGCUCCGAGCGUUAUCCGGAUUUAUUUGGUUUAAAGGGUGCGUCGGGGGGUUGUUAAGUUAGGUGUGAAAUUUUGCGGCUAAACCGUCGAAUUGCAAUGGAAACGGGCAGGCUAGAGUACAGUGGAGGUAGGCGGAAUGAGUGGAGUAGCGGUGAAAUGCUUAGAUAUGACGAAGAACUCCGAUUGCGAAGGCAGCUUACCAGGCUGCAACUGACGUUGAGGCUCGAGAGCGUGGGGAGCAAACAGGAUUAGAUACCCGAGUAGUC